RNAcentral lists this long non-coding RNA (347 nucleotides) under Malus domestica (apple). RNAcentral describes it as "long non-coding RNA (MDOM_LNC017406)". The record is from RNAcentral. Lineage: Eukaryota; Viridiplantae; Streptophyta; Magnoliopsida; Rosales; Rosaceae.
UCCAAAGGAGCACAAAAGGAGAAGGAAAUCACAAGCAAUAUCCAAGGAGCUUGGAGGUGACUUGAAGGCCCUCCACUUGGGUGAAUCCCUUGUGUAAACAAGGAUGAGCUUCAAGGGUAAAGAAACUCUAAAUCUUUACUUCUCUUUAAUGUUGUUAAAGAGUCUUUAGGUUCACCAUAUACUAGGCUUUGAAAGUCAUGGGUUUAUGAAUUGAUUUUUGGAUGCAUGCCUACUUUAAAGUGUUAAUAGCUUGCAUAUGUAUUCAAAUGUUCAUACUUGUUCUUAGCUAGGACAAAUUUUUCCUUCAAGUGGUAUCAGAGCCUAGGCCUAGUUUAUGGUGAAUCCUU